GUUAUACUUAAAUCUUGCUUUUGAAUUCAAGCAGGAUUGAUGCUGCUGUGGCUAUUUUUUGGGCCUUGCUGUUUAGCGUGCUUCUGGUAUCAUCGUAUAUUUCCCUUUACUUAAGACAUUACUGGAUAUCCUUCAUAAUUAUAUGCCUUGCUAUCUUUCUUCCUGUACGUUUGAGAACUUCACGACGGACACUUGCAAAGAAAAGGGAGAGGAGAUUGAUGCUACCUUUAUCCAUGUAAAUGCCGUUGAUGAUUGCCAAUGAAUGGGCACAUCAUUUGGCUGCAUUAAACUAGGUUUUUGGUGACAUCUCAAGAAAUGCAAGGCUCCAACAUCAUUUAUGUACACUUGCCAACCUGAUAGGAGAAUGGUAAAAUGGAAUUAUUUGAGCAAAAGUUGGAGUCCUAGCUGCCCUUUAUUGAGUUGUGGUGUCUUAUCAGGAAAAACAAAAGAUUUCAGCUGAAAUUUAUUCGAUGUUUAAUUGAAAUUUUAAGGUAAAUUGUAAAACAAAGUGCCCGGCAUAGUAGGUAUAAGGGAAUCUCUGCCAUAGUGGUAUCUAUAUUUUUUAAGUAGCUGAAUAACUAAUUGCAGUUGGCUCCCUACCC
Molecule: long non-coding RNA, 602 nt
Organism: Olea europaea var. sylvestris
Lineage: Eukaryota; Viridiplantae; Streptophyta; Magnoliopsida; Lamiales; Oleaceae
Exons: 2
Source: RefSeq, a predicted model, not a curated record